RNAcentral lists this ribosomal RNA (876 nucleotides) under Triticum aestivum (bread wheat). RNAcentral's name for it is "partial small subunit ribosomal RNA". Lineage: Eukaryota; Viridiplantae; Streptophyta; Magnoliopsida; Poales; Poaceae. The record is from RNAcentral.
AUGAGGUGGUGGGGGCUGAAAACUAAGCAGCAGCAGCUGCUGCCACAAGACCAGGCGCAUGAAGAGAGCAAGAGCGGCAAGGGCAAGGCGGCCUUCUCGCCGCUCACAUGGUUCUCCAAGCUCACGGCUAAGCACAAUGCCGCUGCUUCCUCUAAGCCCAAGAAGCAUGCCGCGCCUGAGGCCAAGAGCUCCGGCGGCGGCUUCCACGAGGGCGCGACCCCGAGCCCGGCAUCGCGGAGCAGCCCGCCAGAUACUUUGUCACCCGCAGCCGCCGAUAUCGUGCCGCGUCGUCUCUCCGUCGGCAACGAUGACGCCGAGGCUGAGGCCACGGCCGCGCGCCAGCUCUCCCGCCGACGCCACUACUCCGUCGGGGGCGAUCGCGAUCUCCCGCCGCUCAGCCACCUCAGCGCGUUCUCCCGCGCUGCUUCCUCGCCGCAGUGUGUGCUGGCGACGGCGCCGACCCCGGUGCUGACGCUGCCGUCCGACACGGACGAAGAAAAGCGGCCUCGGAGCCACCAGCGCCGACGCCGAGGAAGCGGGCGGCGGUCCUUCUCCGGAAGGACUACGCCGGGCGCGAGGCUGGCAGCGGUGCGCGUCCGUUCGCCGCGGUGCACCGUGGUGGCCGUGUCGGGGCUUGAGAGGUUCGCGGUGGUGCGGCGGACGAGCGACCCGCAGCGGGAGUUCCGCAACUCGAUGGUGGAGAUGAUAACGAGCAAGCGCAUCGGGCGGCCGGAGGAGCUGGAGACGCUCCUGGCGUGCUACCUGGCGCUAAACGCCGAGGAGCACCACGACUGCAUCGUCAAGGUGUUCCGCCAGGUCUGGUUUGAGCUCAACCCCGCCCGCAUUGCUACCGUCACCAGCCGGCCACGCAGCUGA